Alosa sapidissima (American shad) is the source of this 815-nucleotide long non-coding RNA. RefSeq lists it as uncharacterized. The record is from RefSeq and is a predicted model, not a curated record. NCBI's taxonomy places the organism in Eukaryota, Metazoa, Chordata, Actinopteri, Clupeiformes, Clupeidae. The transcript has 2 exons.
AGCGUGCGUGCGACAAGGAACGUUCUUUGGUGUUGCUUUAACUUAUUAAUCAUAAGUGAUGCGAUCUAGGAAAACCCACCACAUGGUGCAAUUUUACCAACUUAUGAUUCUAAUACCAUCCUAGAUGGGAGGAUGGUAUCCUGGAUUUUGCUAGGAGACAAUAUCCAGAAUGUUGCUAGGAUGGUUUCAGAAUCUUAAAUUGGUGAAAUUUCACUAGAGAGAGUAAAAAGGGAUUUUUGAGUGCACCGUGUGGUGGGUUUUCCUAGAUCGUAUCACAUAUGUAUAACUGUGUAUGAAUUAUCAACUAAUAAGUAUGGGGAAUGAAUGAAAGAAUGGAUGGAUAUGCCUACACUCACAUACUGUAGGGCUUAUCUGCAUGCCUUAUGUGCCCACUGCAGUGUGAUGAAACUGCUUUCGUACCUUAUGCGCCGAUGUGUCUUCCUACUGUUGUUUUACCUUUCCCUUGUCUCAAGCACCCGGCCACACACUUACCGCAGUCCCCAUAGAAUGGGCAUGUUGGAACACAUGAAGUAUGCUAGUGACAGAUGCCGUGUUUGUACAGGAAUUCCUCACAUAAUUAUGGAUUUGUUCGGUCUUCCAUGUGCUUUUUGGAAAUUAAACAUGGCGAAAAAGCAUGUGCGAAUAGGCACAAUAGAUUGCCAUAAACAAAUGUUAAAUAAAUGUUGUAACUAAUCAUAUUGAACUUGAAUCAUAUUUGUCAUUACUGCCUAACACCUUUUUAACAACGUAAAGAUACAGUAUAUUAUGGGAAAAACUGGUGAAAUAAAAAUGCUGUACUCAAGCUUUCAUUAGAA